Molecule: long non-coding RNA, 18422 nt
Filed under: Brassica napus (rape)
Lineage: Eukaryota; Viridiplantae; Streptophyta; Magnoliopsida; Brassicales; Brassicaceae
Description: long non-coding RNA (BNAP_LNC025806)
Source: RNAcentral
CCUCCUAUGGUGCACUGCGCUAUCUGUUAAACGCGGGUACAUGAAGUUACCCACAGCUAUAACGGAAUACAUGGUCUUCUCUUUCGCUACAUUUGCCCUUGUGGAGCCAUUUGGAUUAGCACCUUACAUCCUCAAGCGACGCAAGUCUCUCAUAUCAGUAUUUGAAAUCAUAGAUCGAGUCCCGACGAUUGAACCAGAUGACAACUCUGCUCUCAAGCCGCCUAAUGUCUACGGAAGCAUUGAACUGAAAAACAUCGACUUCUGCUACCCGUCUCGACCCGAAGUGUUGGUGUUGAGCAACUUCAGUCUCAAAGUCAGUGGGGGGCAAACUUUAGCUGUGGUUGGCGUCUCAGGUUCUGGUAAAAGCACAAUAAUCUCACUCGUGGAGAGAUACUACGACCCAGUUGCUGGUCAAGUCCUACUAGACGGGCGCGACUUAAAGCUAUAUAACUUGAGAUGGUUGAGAAGUCACAUGGGUCUGGUCCAGCAAGAGCCCAUAAUCUUUUCCACAACCAUCAGAGACAACAUCAUAUACGCAAGGCAUAAUGCGAGCGAAGCUGAGAUGAAGGAAGCAGCGAGGAUAGCAAACGCUCACCAUUUCAUCAGCAGCUUACCUCACGGUUACGACACACAUGUGGGGAUGAGAGGUGUGGAACUUACCCCAGGACAGAAACAGCGAAUAGCGAUAGCACGUGUGGUGCUGAAGAACGCUCCCAUCAUCUUGAUAGAUGAAGCAAGCUCGUCUAUCGAGUCUGAGUCAAGCCGGGUCGUUCAAGAAGCUCUUGACACGUUGAUAAUGGGGAAUAAAACGACUAUUCUGAUAGCGCAUAGAGCUGCUAUGAUGAGACAUGUUGAUAACAUUGUGGUUCUCAAUGGAGGGAGAAUAGUGGAGGAAGGUACGCAUGAUGCGUUAGCAGCUAAGAAUGGAUUAUACGUCCGUCUAAUGCAACCACACUUCGGCAAAGGUCUACGCCAACAUCGACUAAUAUAGCAAAUAGGGCUUGUAGGUGUAGAUUUUCCACGGUGAUGAAGCUUCUUUCUCCAAGGUAUAUCGAUUGUGUAUGCUAGAUUGUUUUGGGAAGACAAUGUAUGUAAAGAAAAUGUGUAAAUGUAUUCACUUAUUAGUAUUACACACCAACACAAAAGUUUCUUCUCAAAGAGAAGAAAAAAUAGGCAAGCCAGGUAUUGUAGCUCCGGAGUCGAGAAUGUAUGUGUUCCCUGAGACAUAACGGGAAGAGUCAUGAAUGAGAUAGCGAACCAGCGAGGUAAGUCCCGGAUCCACGGUCUGUUGCACCUUUAACGGGAUAGUCCUCUCGGUCACGUUCUUAAGCCACUCUUUUUGCAUAAGACCUUGCGUGAUCUCUGACUUGAGAAGCCCUGGUGCGAUCGAGUUCACUCUGAUGUUGUAUACACCUAACUCAAUAGCCAUCAUCCUCGUCAUGGUAUCAACACCACCUUUGGAACAAGCAUAGGCGACUCCACCGGGUAACAAACCUCGGUGGAGACCGGCGAUGGAGGAGACGUUUAUUACUGAGCCGCCGCCUUUUGCGUCACGCAUUAGACUGCAGACGUAUUUGGAUACUAACCAAGGUCCGGUUAAGUUGGUUCUGAACACUGUGUUCCACUCAUCUUCAGUCAGAUCUAAACUCGUCUUGACAUUGCCUCUGAUUCCAGCGUUGUUGAUCAACACAUCUAUCUUUCCGUAGAUGUCCCAAGCUUGUUUGACCGCUUUUUGAAUGGUAGCUGCGUCUGAUGAAACGUCUAGCUCGAGCGGUGCGGCUAAUUGGAUCCCGGUUGAGCUUAAGCUGUUGAUUUCGGAGCAGAGAGAUUCGAGACGGUGGACGCGACGAGCUGCUGCGAUAAUCUUACAGCCAGCUUUGCCCAGAUCGAGACAGACCUCACUUCCUAUACCAGAAGAAGCUCCGGUCAGAAAAACCACUUUGAAGAUGUAAGAUGUCUGCCCUGAAGUAGUCGUUGACGUAGUUGCGGAAGCAGACGUCGGGUUAAGUGGUGAAGACCAUGUGGAGUCAAGAUGCUGAGCUGGAGUCGUGUAGACUUGGAGAGCAAGGGAGUAUCUUGGAGAUAUGGAAAGAGGAAUAAACUUGAUGAGCAAGUUUAUGACUUAAAGAAAGAGGAAUAAGUGAAUUCCAAGAAAAGGAAAGUUGCACUUAUUGUUAUGGAAGAUGUCCAUACAUGUUGCCUUGGCGACUAGGGUUUUGGGAACAUGGAGAAUAACUAUAAGAUAGCUAUGGGGUCGUCUGUAUAGAGAUAGAGACACAGAGGCUGAUCUUAUAGAAAGAGAGAGAAGCUCUUGGAAGUGUUUGGUAGAAAUGGUUCUGGAAAAAGCAGCAUUAUUCCUUUAAUGGAACGGUUUUAUGAUCCGACAUUAGGUACUAUGACUUGUGAUUUAAGAUGCACCACUCACCUUUGCAUGGAGACAAUCAUGAGCUGACGACAUUUUGUGGUUUUCACUUAUGCAGGAGAAGUUCUUCUUGAUGGAGAAAAUAUUAAAAAUCUAAAACUGGAGUGGCUGAGAAGCCAAAUAGGCCUGGUUACACAGGAGCCUGCUCUGCUAAGCUUGAGCAUAAGAGAGAAUAUUGCAUAUGGUCGUGAUGCUACUCUUGAUAAGAUAGAGGAGGCAGCUAAAAUUGCGCAUGCACACACGUUUAUCAGCUCACUUGAAAAAGGAUAUGAAACUCAGGUAGAAAUUUUUUUCUUUUUUUAAAGUUUGUGAUGAAAUCCUGUUUUGUCAGUUGGUAACUUGGUAUUCAACUUUAAAGUGGGAAAUGCCUGGUUUGACUUCUAGGUAGGGAGAGCCGGUUUAGCAAUGACAGAGGAGCAGAAAAUAAAACUUUCAAUCGCUAGAGCUGUGCUUUUAAAUCCUACAAUUCUUCUGCUUGAUGAAGUAACUGGGGGACUAGAUUUCGAAGCUGAAAGAAUUGUUCAGGAAGCUCUUGAUCUUCUGAUGUUGGGGCGCUCAACCAUAAUAAUUGCCCGACAGCUAAGCUUGAUUAAAAAUGCUGACUAUAUUGCCGUGAUGGAGGAGGGUCAGCUAGUUGAAAUGGGUACACACGAUGAAUUGAUAAAUCUUGGUGGGUUGUAUGCUGAGCUUCUGAAGUGUGAAGAAGCAACAAAGCUACCGCGAAGGUAUGAUAGCUUAGAACAUAACCAGUUACUCGUGUGUUGAAAUUUCUAGUGGCAAAAUAUAUGUUUGGGAAUCUGUUUUCUGCUGUUAUGAUCUCUAGGGGGUGUAUUUUUGUUAAUUAUAUUUGUUUAAGGAACUUGUAUGUUCAUCCAGGAUGCCAGUUAGGAACUACAAGGAGUCUUCAGUAUUUCAGAUUGAGAGGGACUCUUCAGCUGGCUGUGGCGUCCAAGAGCCAUCAUCACCCAAAAUGAUCAAGUCUCCAUCUCUUCAAAGAGGUAAUGGCGUGUUCCGUCCCCAGGAUCUGUGUUUUUACACUGAAGAAUCACCUAAUGAUCAUAACCCUGCUGCACCUGAGAAAAUGGGGGAACAUGGCUUGCCUCUGGACGAUACUGAUAAAGAGCCAACAAUGAAAAGGCAAGAUAGUUUCGAGAUGAGGUUACCAGAGCUUCCUAAAAUCGACGUCCACGGUCCACAGCAUAAAUCAAACGACUCAGAUCCAGAGUCCCCUGUUUCACCCCUUUUGACUUCAGAUCCCAAAAACGAGCGUUCCCAUUCUCAGACGUUUAGCCGUCCUCUUAGUUCGUCUGAUGACACUAAAGCAAAUGGUAAGGAUGCUCAACACAAGGAGUCACCUUCGUUUUGGAGGUUGGCACAGCUUAGUUUCCCAGAGUGGCUCUAUGCUCUAUUAGGGAGUGUGGGUGCUGCCGUAUUUGGUUCCUUCAAUCCUCUUCUGGCUUAUGUCAUGGCGUUGGUAGUCACGGAAUAUUAUAAGAGCAAAGGAGGCCACCUGCGCGAGCAGGUUGACAAAUGGUGUUUGAUCCUUGCCGCCAUGGGGAUAGUGACAGUUUUUGCCAAUUUCUUGCAGCAUUUCUACUUUGGUAUAAUGGGGGAGAAAACGACUGAGAGAGUUCGGAGGAUGAUGUUCUCAGGUACUGGAUUUUUUUGAUCAUUAUAAUUAACUUCACCACAUUUUAACUACUUUCACUUGCCUCGCAUCAUUAAUUUCCCUGAUGUUACAGCAAUGCUGCGUAACGAAGUUGGAUGGUUCGAUCAUGAAGACAACAGUCCUGAUACGUUAUCCAUGCGUUUAGCAAAUGAUGCUACUUUUGUCCGAGCUGCCUUCAGCAACAGGCUUUCGAUAUUUAUUCAAGAUAGUUUUGCUGUUAUUGUUGCUCUUCUUAUUGGGUUGCUGCUUGGUUGGCGUUUGGCCCUUGUUGCAUUAGCAACUCUGCCAAUACUCUCUCUUUCUGCCAUUGCUCAGGUUUGCAUCGUUUCUUCUAGGAGAUUGCUUGACAUUUAAAUUCUUAUUUUAUAAUUUAGUAAACGUGCGGUCAUAAUCCCCUCUUUCACAUGUGUUUCUGAUUUUGUAAUAUUUUUUUCCAGUUCAAGUAGCGGUUUAGCAUGUGAUUCGUUGCUUUUUGCCAUUUCAUUCUCAUGCACAUAGCUCAGACAUGUUUGUUUAUUCAGCUGACAUUGCAUAUUAAUUACCUUAAAACGAAUUUGCAGAAACUGUGGCUUUCUGGAUUCUCAAAAGGCAUCCAGGAGAUGCAUAGAAAGGCAUCAUUAGUUCUCGAGGAUGCUGUACGAAAUAUCUACACUGUUGUUGCCUUCUGUGCUGGUAACAAGGUGAUGGAACUCUACAGGAUGCAACUCCAGAGGAUACUCAGACAAAGCUUUUUACACGGGAUGGCUAUCGGUUUUGCGUUUGGUUUCUCACAGUUCCUUCUCUUCGCCUGCAACGCCCUCCUCCUAUGGUGCACUGCGCUAUCUGUUAAACGCGGGUACAUGAAGUUACCCACAGCUAUAACGGAAUACAUGGUCUUCUCUUUCGCUACAUUUGCCCUUGUGGAGCCAUUUGGAUUAGCACCUUACAUCCUCAAGCGACGCAAGUCUCUCAUAUCAGUAUUUGAAAUCAUAGAUCGAGUCCCGACGAUUGAACCAGAUGACAACUCUGCUCUCAAGCCGCCUAAUGUCUACGGAAGCAUUGAACUGAAAAACAUCGACUUCUGCUACCCGUCUCGACCCGAAGUGUUGGUGUUGAGCAACUUCAGUCUCAAAGUCAGUGGGGGGCAAACUUUAGCUGUGGUUGGCGUCUCAGGUUCUGGUAAAAGCACAAUAAUCUCACUCGUGGAGAGAUACUACGACCCAGUUGCUGGUCAAGUCCUACUAGACGGGCGCGACUUAAAGCUAUAUAACUUGAGAUGGUUGAGAAGUCACAUGGGUCUGGUCCAGCAAGAGCCCAUAAUCUUUUCCACAACCAUCAGAGACAACAUCAUAUACGCAAGGCAUAAUGCGAGCGAAGCUGAGAUGAAGGAAGCAGCGAGGAUAGCAAAUAGGGCUUACCUCACGGUUACGACACACAUGUGGGGAUGAGAGGUGUGGAACUUACCCCAGGACAGAAUGCAACCACACUUCGGCAAAGGUCUACGCCAACAUCGACUAAUAUAGCAAAUAGGGCUUGUAGGUGUAGAUUUUCCACGGUGAUGAAGCUUCUUUCUCCAAGGUAUAUCGAUUGUGUAUGCUAGAUUGUUUUUGGAAGACAAUGUAUGUAAAGAAAAUGUGUAAAUGUAUUCACUUAUUAGUAUUACACACCAACACACAAGUUUCUUCUCAAAGAGAAGAAAAAAUAGGCAAGCCAGGUAUUGUAGCUCCGGAGUCGAGAAUGUAUGUGUUCCCUGAGACAUAACGGGAAGAGUCAUGAAUGAGAUAGCGAACCAGCGAGGUAAGUCCCGGAUCCACGGUCUGUUGCACCUUUAACGGGAUAGUCCUCUCGGUCACGUUCUUAAGCCACUCUUUUUGCAUAAGACCUUGCGUGAUCUCUGACUUGAGAAGCCCUGGUGCGAUCGAGUUCACUCUGAUGUUGUAUACACCUAACUCAAUAGCCAUCAUCCUCGUCAUGGUAUCAACACCACCUUUGGAACAAGCAUAGACGACUCCACCGGGUAACAAACCUCAGUGGAGACCGGCGAUGGAGGAGACGUUUAUUACUGAGCCGCCGCCUUUUGCGUCACGCAUUAGACUGCAGACGUAUUUGGAUACUAACCAAGGUCCGGUUAAGUUGGUUCUGAACACUGUGUUCCACUCAUCUUCAGUCAGAUCUAAACUCGUCUUGACAUUGCCUCUGAUUCCAGCGUUGUUGAUCAACACAUCUAUCUUUCCGUAGAUGUCCCAAGCUUGUUUGACAGCUUUUUGAAUGGUGGCUGCGUCUGAUGAAACGUCUAGCUCGAGCGGUGCGGCUAAUUGGAUCCCGGUUGAGCUUAAGCUGUUGAUUUCGGAGCAGAGAGAUUCGAGACGGUGGACGCGACGAGCUGCUGCGAUAAUCUUACAGCCAGCUUUGCCCAGAUCGAGACAGACCUCACUUCCUAUACCAGAAGAAGCUCCGGUCAGAAAAACCACUCGAGACAGACCUCACUUCCUAUACCAGAAGAAGCUCCGGUCAGAAGAACCACUUUGCCGUUUAGCUCACACCAUGGCUCUAGUUGUUUCAACACCUGCUUCUCUCCCAUUAAAAAGGAAACAAACAAAUUUCUAAUUAAAAAAGGCAGUAAUUAUAUGAUGGGAUUUUAUCAUCAAGUUAUAAUUGGGAUAUGUAUUCAAAACCUUAUCUUAUAAAUCUGCAUUAAAAAGGAAAGAGUGUGAAGGGAGUAACGAGAGAGAGAAGACAAUAGAUCUCACCGUGGUUUGAUGAUUGCUCAUAUUACUUUCUCUGGUGUGUGUUCAGCGAAGAAGGAGAAGCCCAUAACACAUAUAUAAAGCACUUCUUCUCCGUUUUAAAUUAAAACGACAAUUUUAGUUAUUUAACGUGGCUAUCAAGAUCUGUAACUGAUUUUGUGUACUUACCAAACUAGUUAGGUUUUCUGAAUCUAUUAUUCUCACUCUUUUUUGGAAACAAGUUAAAAUAAUCACGAGUACCACAUGGAUGACGACAUAAUAAUUACAUUAUUUGAUAGUAGUAUUGAGUGAGGGAUCAAACUGAGAAAUUGCAUCCAAUAACAUCUUUUUUUUUUUUUUUUUGGGCAACUGCAUCCAAUAACAUCUAAAACACUUUAAUUAACCAAAUAUAAAGAAACUAUGGCUAUGAUAUAAUAAUAUAAUAUAUUAUCAACCAAUUAGACGAAAUUUCUCUUUUCCAUUUUAUCAUCCCCACUCGCGAUUGAUAUGAUUAUAGUAGAAAAAUUUUCAGAUCAAAAUUCAGUUUGUGGAAUGUAAAUGAACUUCGGCAGAAUAAAAACGCACCGUGGUGGUGAUCUAUUUAACGAGCGGCGAUUAAAAUUAGGGAAAUUUACUCAAACAUUACAUAUUUUAUGACAAUCGACUAGAACCAUACAAUUUUUUUUAUUAUUAUUGCCAUUUUUUUAUACCAAAUGUGCCCUUUUUGUAUGUUACGAGAAAAAACGUAUUUACAAGAAUGUCAUUACUUUUUAGUGCUACAUAAGCAAAAAUCCGGUGCCACGUAGGAAUUUGGUUCCGUGUUUUCAGUAAGUCAGCCGUAAAGCGCUAUAUACGUCGUUACGGCUGAAUUAUUGCAAUGUUGCUGGCUGAAUUAAACAACGCGGCUGACUUAAGAGAAAACGGUCGGCUGAUUUACAGAAAUCUGGCUGGUUUAUGGGAUAACGACUGACUUACGUACACGCGUUACGACUGACUUAUACAUCAGCGGUUUGAUUUCUGGAAAAAUCAGCUGAGUUAUAGUUAAGAAAUGGCUGAGUUAUGUUUCCACGGCUGAGUUAAUGAACAUCGACUGGCUGAGUUAUUGAAUUUACGACUGACUUAUGGGAUGUUGUUACGGCUGAGUUAUAUAUAAUCAGCCAUAAUUGGAUGGAUUAACGUAAACACAGCUUAUUUACGGCUGACUUAUUAGCGAAAGAUUAAUUACUAGAAUAGCAUUCGUUUGACGGCUGAUUUAUUUGACGAUACGGCUGACUUAUGAUUUUGCAUCCUAAUUACCGCUGAUUUAUUAGCAAAAGAUUAAUUACUGAAAUAGUAUUCACGUUUCGGCUGACUUACAUUGUACAUGAGGGCUGAUUUAUUUAGGCUGAGUUAUAUAUUCGUUUGGUGGCUGACUAACCGAUUUUCCAUGUCAUCCGCCAUAUCAUCAACUCGGAUUUGCCAUGUCAUCACUAGUCUAAUGUUACAACAGUAAAAUAAAGGUCUACGUUAUCUUUAUUUUUCAUCUUUUUUAUCUAUCUUCUUCAUCUUAUUCUUCAUCUUAUUCUUCAUCUUUCUCUGAGAUCUUAUGGAUCUGGUAAUUAUUGUUUCCGCAACUAGGUCUAUAAACAUAGAUUUAAAAAAAAUGAAAAUCUGAGACAGAUCUACUGCAGUCGUCGUCGUUUCCGAUGAUGAUCGGUUAAAGAGAAGCUUCCUCUCCUCCAGUGUCAUGUAUGGCGGUCCGACAUCCUGCAAGAAUGCUCUCUCUCUCAUUGGAUUCGUCGUCUUGCAGAAGAAGAAAAACUCAAAAAGAGAGAUGAAGAAGCUAAGUCCUGUAAAUUGUAAGAAAAGGAGAGAGUUGAACAAAAAAUUAAGAAAAUGAGAGAAGACGAAGAAGAUGAUGAAUUUGAAAGCUGAUUUUAUAUUUUGAUGAUUCAGAUGGUGCGUCAUCUGAAUAUGAUAACUUUAGUUCAUACAGUGAGUCUCCAACACAUACGUUAUGGCUGAAUUAUGCAUAUGUUACGGCUGAGUUAUGCAUACGUGACGGCUGAGUUUAUAAUUUUUUAUAACUUUAUAGUUCUAUAUUUUAGGGUUUGAAGUUCAAAUUUACGAAAAGAUUAAAGUUUUAAUAUUGUGUUCAAAAGAUAAACUUUAUAACUUUAUAACUUUAUAGUUCUAUUGUUUAGGGUUUGAAGGUCAAAUUUAAGAAAAGAUUAAAGUUUUAUUGUGUUCAGAGUUGAAUGAAUUAUUUUGUUCCUGUCCAAAAUAUGAAAUAUCGCGAAACAAAUUACACUCGAUGGCUGAGUUAUAUGAACGUUACGGCUUGCUUAUACUAUUCAGAUACGUUACGACUGAGUUAUGCAUACUUUACGUCUGAGUUAUGCAUACGUUACGGCUGAGUUUAUAAUUUUUAUAACCUUAUAGUUCUAUAGUUUAGGGAUUCAGGUUCAAAUUAAGAAAAAAUUAAAGUUUUAGUAUUGUGUUCAGAGUUGAAUGAAUGAGUUUGUUUCCACCCAAAAUACGAAAGUCCGCGAAACAAAUUACACUCGACGGCUGAAUUAUAGGAACAUUACGGCUGGCUUAUACCAUUCAAGAGACAAAUCAGUCGCAUAAACAACAUAGAUCUAAAAACUCAAAAAUCUGAGACAGAUCUAUAGCAGUGGUUGUCGUCUUCGAUCAUGGUCGGUUAGAGAAGAAGCUUCUCUCUUCCAGUGUCAUGUAUGGUGAUUUGACAUCCUGCUGCUUCCUCUCUCAUCGGAUUCGUCGUUUUGUAGAAGAAGAAAAAGUUAAAGAGAGAGAGAUGAUGAGGCUAAGUUCUGUCAAUUGUAAGAAAAUGAAGGCUAUAGUUUAGUGAUUGUAAGAGAACAUAUAUAAGUGAACAUAUAUCAACUGAAUUUGAGUUUUAGGGUAUAUUUGUAUAAUUGAUUGUAAGAGAACAUAUAUAAGUGAACAUAUAUCAACUGAAUUUGAGUUUAGGGUAUAUUUGUAUAAGUGAUUGUAAGAGAACAUAUAUCUCAAGAUCAAAUUAAAGUCUCAACUUGAAAAUUCAAGAUACACAUUCAGUUGAUUUAUAUUCACAUGAUAUUGAUAAGAUGAUCUUCAAUAUAACUUUUUAAAGUACUUGAAUUCAGUUUUUCGAUUUUAUGAUAUGUUUGGGAUAUGGCUGAGUUAUCUAAAUGACACAGCUGAGUUAUAUAAAUGAUACAGCUGAGUUAUCUAACGAUACUGCUGAGUUAUAUAAACGAUACGACGAUUUGGGAUAAGACGAUUUCAGAGUUGAAGGAAUGAUUUUGUUCCCGCCCAAAAUAUGAAACGUCGCGAAAAAAAAUUACAGUUGACGACUGACUUAUAGGGCUGACUUAUAGAAACGUUACGGUUGACUUAUACCAUUCGGAUACAUUACGGUUGAAUUAUGCAUUUUUUACAGCUGAGUUAUGCAUACGUUACGGCUGAGUAUGGGUGCCAAAAAGGUUGGGCCACCCAUGGGCUAACUCAUUCCAAACAAACAUGGGUGGGUGAUGGUCAUACCCAAAUAAUUAAUGGUCCAAUCGGGUUAAAGAUCAACUUUACCCAUGGGCUAACAGGUCCAAACCAAAUGGGUGUUGGGUUGGCCCAAAAACUUAAUUUCUAGGGUUUAGACAAUUUGGGAAAAAAUCAAUCAGAUUUCCUCUUCCCCGAUUCUCCUCUUCUGUCCCGCGAUUAUCCUCUUCUAUCCCCAGAUUUCUCUUCUUCAUUCUCAGAUGGCUUAGCUUACGUCUGCUGUUCUUGUGUUCAUCAACAAAGUAAGUGUGACAAAUCCAUAUGAUUAUCUUCUCCUUACGUCUUCUCCUCUUCUCUUCCUCGAGUCAUUCCUUUGUUUUUGAUUUAAAAUAAGUUUUAAACUAAAUUUCAUUUUUGACUGAAGGUUCUCUUCCCUGUAAAGGCGUCAUCUGCUUAUAAGGAGAUUCUCCAUUUCUCUACAAUUUCAGGUAUGAUUCGAUUGUAGCUCUGAUCUCACGAUUUCUCUACGUUCUGUGUUGUGGGUUUUGUAUCUCGUUCUGUUUAGCUUUGAUCUCAAGUAUUUACUCUUGCUCUGAUGAUGAUGAUGAAUCGUUUAGAUUGCCCUACCUACAUAUGUAUCGUUUUUAUUUUAUUCUGUGUGUGAUCAUUUUAAGUUUUGGGCUGACUUAAGAGAAAACGGUCGGCUGAUUUACAGAAAUCUGGCUGGUUUAUGGGAUAACGACUGACUUACGUACACGCGUUACGACUGACUUAUACAUCAGCGGUUUGAUUUCUGGAAAAAUCAGCUGAGUUAUAGUUAAGAAAUGGCUGAGUUAUGUUUCCACGGCUGAGUUAAUGAACAUCGACUGGCUGAGUUAUUGAAUUUACGACUGACUUAUGGGAUGUUGUUACGGCUGAGUUAUAUAUAAUCAGCCAUAAUUGGAUGGAUUAACGUAAACACAGCUUAUUUACGGCUGACUUAUUAGCGAAAGAUUAAUUACUAGAAUAGCAUUCGUUUGACGGCUGAUUUAUUUGACGAUACGGCUGACUUAUGAUUUUGCAUCCUAAUUACCGCUGAUUUAUUAGCAAAAGAUUAAUUACUGAAAUAGUAUUCACGUUUCGGCUGACUUACAUUGUACAUGAGGGCUGAUUUAUUUAGGCUGAGUUAUAUAUUCGUUUGGUGGCUGACUAACCGAUUUUCCAUGUCAUCCGCCAUAUCAUCAACUCGGAUUUGCCAUGUCAUCACUAGUCUAAUGUUACAACAGUAAAAUAAAGGUCUACGUUAUCUUUAUUUUUCAUCUUUUUUAUCUAUCUUCUUCAUCUUAUUCUUCAUCUUAUUCUUCAUCUUUCUCUGAGAUCUUAUGGAUCUGGUAAUUAUUGUUUCCGCAACUAGGUCUAUAAACAUAGAUUUAAAAAAAAUGAAAAUCUGAGACAGAUCUACUGCAGUCGUCGUCGUUUCCGAUGAUGAUCGGUUAAAGAGAAGCUUCCUCUCCUCCAGUGUCAUGUAUGGCGGUCCGACAUCCUGCAAGAAUGCUCUCUCUCUCAUUGGAUUCGUCGUCUUGCAGAAGAAGAAAAACUCAAAAAGAGAGAUGAAGAAGCUAAGUCCUGUAAAUUGUAAGAAAAGGAGAGAGUUGAACAAAAAAUUAAGAAAAUGAGAGAAGACGAAGAAGAUGAUGAAUUUGAAAGCUGAUUUUAUAUUUUGAUGAUUCAGAUGGUGCGUCAUCUGAAUAUGAUAACUUUAGUUCAUACAGUGAGUCUCCAACACAUACGUUAUGGCUGAAUUAUGCAUAUGUUACGGCUGAGUUAUGCAUACGUGACGGCUGAGUUUAUAAUUUUUUAUAACUUUAUAGUUCUAUAUUUUAGGGUUUGAAGUUCAAAUUUACGAAAAGAUUAAAGUUUUAAUAUUGUGUUCAAAAGAUAAACUUUAUAACUUUAUAACUUUAUAGUUCUAUUGUUUAGGGUUUGAAGGUCAAAUUUAAGAAAAGAUUAAAGUUUUAUUGUGUUCAGAGUUGAAUGAAUUAUUUUGUUCCUGUCCAAAAUAUGAAAUAUCGCGAAACAAAUUACACUCGAUGGCUGAGUUAUAUGAACGUUACGGCUUGCUUAUACUAUUCAGAUACGUUACGACUGAGUUAUGCAUACUUUACGUCUGAGUUAUGCAUACGUUACGGCUGAGUUAUAAUCAAAUUACAGCUGACUUAUGCAUACGUUACGGCUGAGUUUAUAAUUUUUAUAACCUUAUAGUUCUAUAGUUUAGGGAUUCAGGUUCAAAUUAAGAAAAAAUUAAAGUUUUAGUAUUGUGUUCAGAGUUGAAUGAAUGAGUUUGUUUCCACCCAAAAUACGAAAGUCCGCGAAACAAAUUACACUCGACGGCUGAAUUAUAGGAACAUUACGGCUGGCUUAUACCAUUCAAGAGACAAAUCAGUCGCAUAAACAACAUAGAUCUAAAAACUCAAAAAUCUGAGACAGAUCUAUAGCAGUGGUUGUCGUCUUCGAUCAUGGUCGGUUAGAGAAGAAGCUUCUCUCUUCCAGUGUCAUGUAUGGUGAUUUGACAUCCUGCUGCUUCCUCUCUCAUCGGAUUCGUCGUUUUGUAGAAGAAGAAAAAGUUAAAGAGAGAGAGAUGAUGAGGCUAAGUUCUGUCAAUUGUAAGAAAAUGAAGGCUAUAGUUUAGUGAUUGUAAGAGAACAUAUAUAAGUGAACAUAUAUCAACUGAAUUUGAGUUUUAGGGUAUAUUUGUAUAAUUGAUUGUAAGAGAACAUAUAUAAGUGAACAUAUAUCAACUGAAUUUGAGUUUAGGGUAUAUUUGUAUAAGUGAUUGUAAGAGAACAUAUAUCUCAAGAUCAAAUUAAAGUCUCAACUUGAAAAUUCAAGAUACACAUUCAGUUGAUUUAUAUUCACAUGAUAUUGAUAAGAUGAUCUUCAAUAUAACUUUUUAAAGUACUUGAAUUCAGUUUUUCGAUUUUAUGAUAUGUUUGGGAUAUGGCUGAGUUAUCUAAAUGACACAGCUGAGUUAUAUAAAUGAUACAGCUGAGUUAUCUAACGAUACUGCUGAGUUAUAUAAACGAUACGACGAUUUGGGAUAAGACGAUUUCAGAGUUGAAGGAAUGAUUUUGUUCCCGCCCAAAAUAUGAAACGUCGCGAAAAAAAAUUACAGUUGACGACUGACUUAUAGGGCUGACUUAUAGAAACGUUACGGUUGACUUAUACCAUUCGGAUACAUUACGGUUGAAUUAUGCAUUUUUUACAGCUGAGUUAUGCAUACGUUACGGCUGAGUAUGGGUGCCAAAAAGGUUGGGCCACCCAUGGGCUAACUCAUUCCAAACAAACAUGGGUGGGUGAUGGUCAUACCCAAAUAAUUAAUGGUCCAAUCGGGUUAAAGAUCAACUUUACCCAUGGGCUAACAGGUCCAAACCAAAUGGGUGUUGGGUUGGCCCAAAAACUUAAUUUCUAGGGUUUAGACAAUUUGGGAAAAAAUCAAUCAGAUUUCCUCUUCCCCGAUUCUCCUCUUCUGUCCCGCGAUUAUCCUCUUCUAUCCCCAGAUUUCUCUUCUUCAUUCUCAGAUGGCUUAGCUUACGUCUGCUGUUCUUGUGUUCAUCAACAAAGUAAGUGUGACAAAUCCAUAUGAUUAUCUUCUCCUUACGUCUUCUCCUCUUCUCUUCCUCGAGUCAUUCCUUUGUUUUUGAUUUAAAAUAAGUUUUAAACUAAAUUUCAUUUUUGACUGAAGGUUCUCUUCCCUGUAAAGGCGUCAUCUGCUUAUAAGGAGAUUCUCCAUUUCUCUACAAUUUCAGGUAUGAUUCGAUUGUAGCUCUGAUCUCACGAUUUCUCUACGUUCUGUGUUGUGGGUUUUGUAUCUCGUUCUGUUUAGCUUUGAUCUCAAGUAUUUACUCUUGCUCUGAUGAUGAUGAUGAAUCGUUUAGAUUGCCCUACCUACAUAUGUAUCGUUUUUAUUUUAUUCUGUGUGUGAUCAUUUUAAGUUUUGGUAAAACAUAAGAAGCAAUGCUAUGAGCCUAUGAUAACUGUGGGUUUUGUGUGUUCAUGUAGGUGAUGAGUCUGUUGGUUUUGUGUGUUCAUGUAGGUGAUGAGUCUGUUGGUUUUGUGUGUGCAUGUAGGUGAUGAGUCUGUUGGUUUUGUAUCUCGUUCUGUUUAGCUUCGAUCUCAGUUUAUCUCUUCAUGCUCUCUACGUUCUAUGUUGUGGGUUUUGUGGGUUUUGUAUCUCGUGAAACUAAAGAAAUGUACCUCUCAUGCUCUCUACAUUCUGUGUUGCGGGUUUUAUGGGUUUUGUAUCUCGUUCUGUUUAGCUUCGAUCUCGGUUUAUCUCUUCAUUUCAUCUCAAGUUUUUACUCUUGCUCUGAUGAUGAUGAUGAAUAUUUUUUUUGUUUCAGAAAAUGGAAGCUAUAGACUUGAAUGAUGAUGGUCAGAAUGGUGUGAUGGAUGAAGAUAUAGAGGAUCAUGAAGUUAUAGAGAUCUCAGAGGCUAACGAAGGCACAAAACGAAGAUCACUCCGUAGAGUCUCUAGGUGCUGGAGAAAGUUCACUAUAAUUGGAGGAAAGCUGUCUGAUGGUACAACUAAGAUCAGAUGCAACCUUUGUAAAAGUUUUUACUUCUUGAAUCUUCAUCAAAAUGGAACCUCAACUUUGACUCGUCAUAUGAAGGUAUGUCCAAAAUCUGUUGGUACACCUAGAAGUAGUUCUAGGAAGGUGGAUAUGAUGGUGUUUCGUGAGAUGAUAGCAAUGGCGAUUAUAGAGCAUGAUCUUCCUUAUAAGUUUGUAGAGUAUAAGAGGAUUAGAAUGGCUUUUACUUAUGCUAAUUCCACGAUUGAGUAUUGGAGUAGAAAUACAACAGCUUCUGAUGUGUUGAAGAUUUAUGAAAGUGAAAAGCAGAAAUUUAGGAAAAUCUUAAAUGAUUUUCCUAGUAGAGUUUGUUUAACAACAGAUCUCUGGAGAGCUAUCACGAUUGAAGGCUAUCUCUACUUGACUGCACACUACAUCGAUGAAGAUUGGAAUCUGCAAGCGAAGAUACUAUCUUUCAUUGCUUUCCCCCCCCCCACCUCAUUCUGGAAUAUCAAUAGCUAUGAAACUGAUUGAGCUUUUGAAGGAGUGGGGACUGGAAAAGACAAUAUUAUGUCUCACAGUGGACAACGCUUCUUCAAAUGAUACCAUGCAAAGCAUCAUGAAGAGACAACUGCACAAAGAUCUUGUCUGUAAUGGAUAAUUUUUCCAUGUUAGAUGCUCAGCACACAUCUUGAAUCUGAUCGUCCAAGACGGCUUAGCCGUGAUUGGAGGAGCUUUGCAGAAAAUCAGGGAGAGUGUCAAGUUCGUUUGAGGAUCAGAAAGCAGGGAAAGAAUGUUUCAAAAUUGUGUUAAAAUAGUGGGAGUUGAGGGUGAUGAAGGUCUAGUUUUAGAUGUAAGCACACGCUGGAAUUCUACUUUCCUUAUGCUUUCUAGGGCUAUCAAGUUUAAAGCUGCACUAGGUAACUUGGCGGAUGUGGAAGCGAGUUAUGUGAGCUUACCCUCUUAUUCUGAGUGGAGGAGAGCAGAAGUGAUAUGCGAGUUGUUGACGCCAUUUUCUGAGAUUACAAAUUUGAUUUCUGGUUCCUCAUACCCAACAUCAAAUUUGUAUUUCAAUGAAAUUUGGAAGAUUGAGUGUUGGUUGAGAGCUCAUACGAAUUCUUCUGAUCAUGUUAUUUGUGAAAUGGUGAAGUGUAUGAAGCUCAAGUUUGAGAAAUACUUGGAAGAGUACAGUGAUAUCCUUGCAGUUGCUGCAGUUUUGGAUCCAAGACUGAAAUUUGAGCUUACAAGAAAAAUCAGAGAAUUAGUGGUGCUGCUGCAACAACUUCACAAGGAGAAAUACACGAUGUUCCAGCCGGUUAUGGUGUAAGUUAUGUUAUGUAGUUAUUUCUCAGAACUGUUAUGAUUUUCUGAUAUUAUAUAAGUGUGUUUAACCUGUUCUUCAGGGAUUCUAUGCCUUCUUUUCUCAGAAAGCUGUUGGCAGUGGAAAGUCUGCUCUCGACAUAUAUCUGGAUGAGCGAUUUCUUGACAUGGCCGCUUACAAGAAACUGAAUGUGUUACAUUACUAGAGAGACAACUCAACUCGUUUCAAAGAGUUGGCAACAAUGGCAUGAGAGGUUCUGAGUAUACCCAUAACAACUGUUGCUUCAGAAUCUUUGUUUAGCAUAGGUAGUAGGGUCCUUAACAAGUACAGGAGCUGUCUUCUACCUACUAAUGUGCAAGCCUUAGUAUGUACAAGAAACUGGUUAAAAGGGUUUCCAGAAAUUGGUUAGUGUUGCUUAUAGCCUUAUAAUCUGUUCAUAUGAUAAAUUGCUUCAGAAUCUUCAUAAAAUUAUUAUUUUUCUUAGGUGAUGAGUCUGUUGAGAAGACAGAAGAGGAGAAAGAAGAAGAGGAUAAAGAGGAGGAGAAAGAAGAAGAGAGUGGAGAGUCUAGAGACUUGACUGAGGUAUUAUCUUAUACUUGUUACGUGAUGUUUACUGCUCAAUUAUUGUGUGAUCUUGUACUUUUCGUUCAGUCUUGCAAGUAACUCGUUCGAAUUUGUGGGUUUAGUAUUGAAAUGUUCACAAUGUUUGGAGAGUUUGUGGGUUCAGUCUUGCAAGUAACUCAUUUAGUGUAGUAACUCGUCACGACUCAUUUGCUCUCUAACUUUGUACGGCUGUUGUUUUUGUGUUGCUCUCUCAUUUGCUCAUUUAGUGUAGUAGUAACUUGUCAUGUUUUGUUGCUCUCUCACUUUGUAGAACAUGAGAGGUACAUUGCUUUAGUUUCAUUAGAUUGCAAGUUUGAUGUUAUGUAGUUGAUCAAAGUUUGGUGCUAUGUAAAGAUUGCUAUCAGUUCUUUUGCUUGAGAUGUUCAUGUCUCUGCUCUUCCUUCUUGCAGGCUGAAGACAAGUAGACAAGCUGGAACUGGAACAAAGUAGAUACAGAGAAUUAUCAAUAAGUCUUUCAAUUUAUAAUCUUUAUAGUCACAAUAGCUUUAUAGUCACGAAAGUUUUGAAUUAUGGACAUUCAGUUAAAUAAUGUUUUGAGACUAUUUCAAUUAAGAUUCAUAUUUGAAUAUUUUUUAUCUUUGAAAAAACAUAUUUGAUUUUAUUGUUGGAUUUAAAGAUUUUCUAUAAUGUUUAUUUGCAAUAAGUAUAUAAGUUUAUAAAUUGAGUUUACAAAAACUGAUUAUGAACUAAAUUGAUCUAAUUGUUAAAAAAAAAACUUAAAUGGGCGGUCUUGGGUUAUUUCCAAUUGGACAUGUGCUAACUUAGGUUUGGGUGCUUUUGGGUUUGGAUGUUACACGGGGUGGGUGUUUUGGGUCUAAAAAAAUUUAUGUCCAACUACACACCCAUUUGGGUGUUGGGCCGCCCAGUUGACCGCCCUCCUCCUAUGGUGCACUGCGCUAUCUGUUAAACGCGGGUACAUGAAGUUACCCACAGCUAUAACGGAAUACAUGGUCUUCUCUUUCGCUACAUUUGCCCUUGUGGAGCCAUUUGGAUUAGCACCUUACAUCCUCAAGCGACGCAAGUCUCUCAUAUCAGUAUUUGAAAUCAUCGAUCGAGUCCCGACGAUUGAACCAGAUGACAACUCUGCUCUCAAGCCGCCUAAUGUCUACGGAAGCAUUGAACUGAAAAACAUCGACUUCUGCUACCCGUCUCGACCCGAAGUGUUGGUGUUGAGCAACUUCAGUCUCAAAGUCAGUGGGGGGCAAACUUUAGCUGUGGUUGGCGUCUCAGGUUCUGGUAAAAGCACAAUAAUCUCACUCGUGGAGAGAUACUACGACCCAGUUGCUGGUCAAGUCCUACUAGACGGGCGCGACUUAAAGCUAUAUAACUUGAGAUGGUUGAGAAGUCACAUGGGUCUGGUCCAGCAAGAGCCCAUAAUCUUUUCCACAACCAUCAGAGACAACAUCAUAUACGCAAGGCAUAAUGCGAGCGAAGCUGAGAUGAAGGAAGCAGCGAGGAUAGCAAAUAGGGCUUACCUCACGGUUACGACACACAUGUGGGGAUGAGAGGUGUGGAACUUACCCCAGGACAGAAUGCAACCACACUUCGGCAAAGGUCUACGCCAACAUCGACUAAUAUAGCAAAUAGGGCUUGUAGGUGUAGAUUUUCCACGGUGAUGAAGCUUCUUUCUCCAAGGUAUAUCGAUUGUGUAUGCUAG